GUCACUGCUAUCGGUGUUCGACUAAGCCAUGCGAGUCAAAUGUUCUUCGUGAACAUGGCGUACUGCUCAGUAACACGUGGAUAACCUGCCCUUAGGUCUGGCAUAACCCCGGGAAACUGGGGAUAAUUCCGGAUAGAUCAUAGAUGCUGGAAUGCCCUGUGAUCCAAAGCUUUUGUGCCUAAGGAUGGGUCUGCGGUCUAUCAGGUUGUAGUGGGUGUAAUGUACCUACUAGCCUACGACGGAUACGGGUUGUGGGAGCAAGAGCCCGGAGAUGGAUUCUGAGACAUGAAUCCAGGCCCUACGGGGCGCAGCAGGCGCGAAAACUUUACAAUGCGGGAAACCGCGAUAAGGGGACACCGAGUGCCAGCAUCCUAUGUUGGCUGUCCAUAUGUCUAAAUCACAUGUGUUAGCAAGGGCCGGGCAAGACCGGUGCCAGCCGCCGCGGUAACACCGGCGGCCCGAGUGGUGGCCACUAUUAUUGGGUCUAAAGGGUCCGUAGCCGGUUUGGUCAGUCUUCCGGGAAAUCUGACGGCUCAACCGUUAGGCUUUCGGGGGAUACUACCAGGCUUGGGACCGGGAGAGGUAAGAGGUACUACGGGGGUAGGAGUGAAAUCUUGUAAUCCCUGUGGGACCACCAGUGGCGAAGGCGUCUUACCAGAACGGGUCCGACGGUGAGGGACGAAAGCUGGGGGCACGAACCGGAUUAGAUACCCGGGUAGUCCCAGCUGUAAACUAUGCUCGCUAGGUGUCAGGGACGGUGCGACCGUUUCUGGUGCCGCAGGGAAGCCGUGAAGCGAGCCACCUGGGAAGUACGGUCGCAAGGCUGAAACUUAAAGGAAUUGGCGGGGGAGCACUACAACGGGUGGAGCCUGCGGUUUAAUUGGACUCAACGCCGGAAAACUCACCGGGGGCGACAGCAAUAUGUAGGUCAAGCUAAAGACUUUACCAGAAUCGCUGAGAGGAGGUGCAUGGCCGUCGUCAGUUCGUACUGUGAAGCAUCCUGUUAAGUCAGGCAACGAGCGAGACCC
Molecule: ribosomal RNA, 1028 nt
Filed under: uncultured Methanomethylovorans sp.
Lineage: Archaea; Methanobacteriati; Methanobacteriota; Methanomicrobia; Methanosarcinales; Methanosarcinaceae
Description: bacterial SSU rRNA
Rfam family: Archaeal small subunit ribosomal RNA
Source: RNAcentral